CAGAUAGACUUUUAUUUUGAAGGCGAUGUCUAGCAGGAAGUCGGCCGUCGGCCAUUUUUGUCGUAAUCACAACAAGCCGUGUGCAGCUAGUGCUAGUUAAGUGUUCAUCCAUGGUCAUCCUUGUUUCUGUUUGUGCCUUCGACAUCAUCGUCUUUUUACUCCAUGUUUUGGGAGAACACUGCAAUAAAAAGGAGCUUUGGAAGCUAUACCCUGACUCAGUGUCUACCUUAGCAGGAGUUAGGCUUACUGCUGAAUUGGUGUUAGAAACACACACAAGGAGAGCAGGAAAGUAAAAAGACGAUACGCAGCUGGCAACACAAUACACAGCAGCAGACUACAUGAACAUGGACAACGAUCAGAAGAAAAAUACUACAACAAAAGGCUUCAAGUCAUCUCAAAGUGGAUUGUCGGUCAGUCGUAAAAGCUUUAGCUCAACCAAAUCAUCAGUCAGCGCUGCUGCUGCAAAGGCAAGAGCCAAAGCAGAGGCUGCUCGUGCACGUGCAGCAUUUGCAGAGCGUGAAAUCAGUAUCAAGGUGAACAAAGCAAGACUAGAAGCCAGCCUCGAUGCCUUGCAGUUGGAAAGAGAAGCUGCAGCUGCUAAUGCCCAGGCAGAAGCUUUAGAGGCAGCAGCGGAGAUUGAGGAAGAGGAGCUCCGUAGCAAAAGGAGCUUCCCUGUCGUGGAGCAAGACACACAAGAACGCGUAAGCGAAUAUGUUCGUGACCAAACUACACAUUUUGACAAGCUCCCUGAACCUGUAGUCUUCCCAGAGACCGCAGAGCGAUCUAUUGAGCCUCACCUUAACGCGCCAACACCAUAUGUUCACAAAGAAGAAGAAUAUAUUAUGAAAGAUUCUUGGCCAGCCCCACCUCAACUUCAACAGAGACCAACAUCACUUCAGAGUUCUCAGGCAAUACAUGAAUCCAAAUCAUCAGUCCAACCGCACACCCAAGAGAAUUUCCAAGUCAAAAGAGAGAAAGACACUUACAACACCAAUCCCACAUCCAAGCUAACUUUCCCAAAGUACUCUGACACAUCUCACAUGUACCGAACCAGUCCAGAGUCUUCAGUUAUGUUGGACAUGGCAAAGUACCUGGCACGCAAAGAACUUGUUUGCACGGGCCUAUCAAACUUCGAUGAUCGUCCUGAAUCGUACAGAGCAUGGAAGUCCUCCUUCUUCAACACGAUCAAAGAUUUGGAUCUGACAGCUAGUGAACAGUUGGAUCUGCUUUCAAAAUGGCUUGGAAAAGAAUCAUCUGAACACGUGAGACGUCUGAGAGCAGUUAACAUUGGCAACCCAAAUGCAGCUCUACGAACAGCUUGGGAAAGACUUGAUGAAUGUUUUGGCGCUCCAGAAGUAAUUGAAAAUGCGCUUUUCGCAAAGCUCGACAACUUUCCUAGAAUCUCGAAUAAGGACAGCCAAAAAUUAAGGGAACUUGGAGACCUUUUAAAAGAGUUAUUGUCAGCAAAAGAAGAUGGAUACCUGUCAGGCUUGGCAUUCUUGGACACUGCUCGUGGCAUAAAACCAAUCGUGGAAAAAUUGCCAUUCAACCUGCAAGAGAGAUGGCUUUCUCAGGGAUCAAUGUACAAGCAAGAUCACAAGGUCAGUUACCCGCCUUUUUCUUACUUCACCUCUUUUAUCUGCUACCAAGCUAAAACAAGGAAUGAUCCCAGCUUUACCCUUUCUGGAAACAACCUAACAUUUGAAAGAGCAAUGCCGAAACAUAAAGCUCCUAGAACAGUGGUUUCAGUGCACAAGACAAAAGUUUCUACUGAUGUUACACAAGAUGAAACAGCUUCCGAAGAGGACGUGUCGAAGCAAUGUCCAAUCCAUAAAAGGCCUCACCCUUUAAAGAAAUGUCGGGGCUUCAGGCUAAAAACUCUUGCAGACAGAAAAGCAUACUUAAAGGAACAAGGCAUUUGUUUCAAAUGUUGCUCAUCAUCCUCCCACCCAGCUCGUGAUUGCAAAGCACGACUGAAAUGUGACGAGUGUGACAGUGAAAAUCAUAUAACGGCUCUUCACCCUGGUCCACCACCAUGGGCAGCUAGAGUCUCAAAUUCCCCGAAGAAUGAUGGCGGGGAGUCAGAGUUGGAGGAAACCACGAGAACUCCAGUCGUAAGUCCUCUGUGCACCAAAGUGUGCGGGGAUCAUCUCAAAGCAAAGUCGUGCUCAAAGAUCUGCCUCGUUAAAGUAUAUCCAGACAAUCAACCAGAGAAAGCCGAAAAAAUGUAUGCCAUGCUCGAUGACCAGAGCAACAGAUCUCUAGCUCGGUCACAGUUUUUUGACAUCUUCAAAAUCGAGACAGACGCAUACCCUUACACCCUCAAAACAUGUGCUGGCUUAGCCACAGUCUCUGGCAGGAAAGCAACCGGCUACCAUAUCGAAGCAGUUAAUGGUGGCGUUAACUUGUCGCUGCCAGAACUCACAGAAUGUGACGAUUUACCAGACAAUCGUGACGAAAUACCAACUCCAGAGGCUGCUCUCCACCACCCCCAUCUAAAAAGUAUUGCCAACGAAAUCCCAGCCUUGGACGACAAUGCCCAGAUCCUUCUUCUGCUGGGUAGGGACAUUCUUCGCAUUCAUAAAGUGAGGCAGCAGAUUAAUGGUCCUGGAGAUACUCCUUUUGCGCAAAGACUUGAUCUUGGAUGGGUGCUGGUGGGCGACGUGUGUUUGGGAAAAGUCCACAAGCCUAUCAUUCACAGCUACAAAACGAAUGUACUAGAAGAUGGAAGACCUUCGCUGUUCAGGCCAUGCACGAGCCACAUCAAUCUCAAGCAAGCGACCAGUCCCAGUUUCGUCAAUGGUCUUUCUCACAGUUCACCAGAUGACUCGCUUGGCCUUACAGUUUUUGCAAGGACUGACAAUGACGACAAGCGAGCCUUCUCCAUCGAAGAUGAACAGUUCAUCAAAAUAAUGAAUGAUCAAGUUUUCCAAGAUGAGUGUAACAGCUGGGUGGCACCUCUCCCUUUCAAGACACCCAGACCUCCCUUAUCAAACAACCGAGAGCAAGCUAUGACCCGCCUUUCAUCUCUGAAACGCACUCUGGAACGGAAGCCAAAGAUGAAAGAACAGUUUGUCACCUUUAUGCAAAAAAUCUUUGACAACAACCAUGCUGAACCAGCCCCUCCGCUACAAAAGGGAAGAGAAUGUUGGUACUUACCAAUGUUCGGAGUCUACCAUCCCAGAAAACCUGGACAAAUCAGAGUUGUGUUUGAUUCUAGUGCACAAUCCAAUGGCCUCUCACUCAACAAUGUCCUGCUCACCGGGCCAGACCUGAAUAACAGUCUCAUUGGAGUUCUCAUUCGCUUCAGGAGGGAGAAAAUAGCUGUUAUGGCAGACAUCGAACAGAUGUUCCAUUGUUUUGUCGUAAGAGAGGACCACCGAGAUUACUUGCGCUUCCUCUGGUUCCGAGAGAACGACCCCAGCAAAGACAUUGUCGAAUACCGGAUGAGGGUACAUGUAUUUGGCAAUAGCCUUUCCCCAGCCGUGGCCACCUACUGUCUCAGAAGAGCAGCCCAGCAGGGAGAACAGCAAUACGGGUCAGACACCAGACACUUUGUGGAGCGAGAUUUUUAUGUCGACGAUGGCCUGGUCUCAACACCCACCGAAGAGGAAGCAAUUGCUCUGCUGCAAAAGACUCAAGCUUCUCUGUCGGAGUCAAACUUGAGACUCCACAAGAUCACGUCUAACAGUGUUAGAGUCCUGACAGCAUUUCCAGCAGGGGACCAUGCUAAGGACAUUAAAGAUCUCUAUCUCGGAACAGAAACGGCGCCCACCCAAAGAAGUCUUGGUUUGAGCUGGGAAAUCAAAAUAGACACUUUCACCUUCCAAGUGUCAGUCAAUGACAAGCCAUUCACACGUCGUGGGAUUCUUUCUACAAUAAACAGUCUUUUCGACCCGCUUGGCUUUGUUGCUCCUGUGACCAUUCAAGGAAAGUCACUAUUGAGAGAGCUUACUCUUGAAGGAACUGAAUGGGACGUUCUUCUUCCCCAAGAAAAACUUAAAGUGUGGGAAACAUGGAGAGAUUCUCUUCAGGAAUUGCAACAUCUUCACAUUCCUCGUGCUUAUACCACCACUUCUCCUUCCAAGGCAAAGCAAAAGGAGAUCUGCAUCUUCUCUGAUGCCUCUACAAAGGCUGCUGUCGCAUACCUCAGAACAACUAACGAGGAUGGCCAGAUCCACGUGGGCUUCAUCUUAGGAAAAGCCAAACUUUCUCCUCCCAGCGAACCCACCAUUCCCAGACUGGAACUUUGUGCGGCAGUGCUAGCUGCAGAAAUGGCUGAACUCAUCGUUCAAGAGAUUGAUCUUCCACUUGACGCAGUCACCUUUUAUUGUGACAGUAAAGUGGUGCUGGGAUAUAUACAUAAUCAGUCAAAACGUUUCUAUGUGUAUGUCCACAACAGAGUUCAAAGGAUCCGGCAAUCCACAGACCCAAAGCAAUGGCGGUACGUGCCUACGGAACACAACCCAGCUGACCAUGCCUCCAGAUCGGUUCAAGCUUCCAUCCUCACACAAACCAACUGGUUCACAGGUCCAGCCUUUCUAUACAAACCACAAGCAGCCACUGAGCAUCAACAGUCAUUUGAAAUCAUCGAUCCAGACUCAGAUGUGGAGAUCCGACCACAAGUAACAAGUUGCGUGACGGGCCAAAGAGACAAGCGCUUGGAUCCAAAGAGAUUUGAAAGAUUCUCAUCUUGGAAGUCCUUGCAAAGAGCAGUGGCAACUCUUUUCCAUGUAACUCGUUCUUUUAAGUCAACAAACCAGGAUGUCACCGUAUGUUCUGGAUGGCACCUGUGUUCAAAGCCUCACAGUGUCGAUGAGUUGUCAAAAUCAUCUGAAGUCAUCCUCCGUGCUGUACAAAGAGCCUGCUUUUCUGAAGAAUACGACUCCCUCUCCAAGGGGCAAGACGUUAACAAGAAAAGUUCAUUGUCAAAACUAAAUCCUGUUAUAGCCCCAGAUGGCUUGUUGAGGAUUGGAGGGAGACUGAAGCUGGCAGAUCUCAGCGAUCCUGAAAAACAUCCAAUCAUUCUGCCAGGUAAACAUCAUGUGUCCACAUUGCUCAUAAGGCAUCAUCACGAACGGGUUGAACACCAAGGCCGAAGUUUCACAGAGGGCGCUGUACGAGCCGCUGGCAUUUGGUUGAUUGGUGGUAAGAGACGCAUAAGCAGUAUUUUACAUGGAUGUGUCACCUGUCUUAAACUUCGUGGAAGAAGAGAGAGGCAGAAAAUGUCGGACCUUCCCCAAGAACGGUUGAGCACUUCACCUCCCUUUACAUACACUGGUGUGGAUGUCUUCGGUCCCUGGUUUGUGACAGCAAGGCGCACAAGAGGAGGCUUAGCUCAAAGUAAACGAUGGGCUGUUCUGUUCACAUGCUUGAGUACCCGCGCCGUCCAUAUAGAGGUGAUUGAGUCCAUGGAUACUUCCUCCUUCAUCAACUCCCUGAGAAGGUUCUUUGCAAUCCGUGGCCCUUCUCAACAGCUACACUCAGACCGUGGAACCAACUUCAUUGGUGCUUGUAAAGAGCUGGAGUUUGAGAAGGUUCUGAAGGAAUCAGUGGUCCAAACAUACACCAACAGUCAAGAUUGUUCAUGGCACUUCAAUCCACCACACUCCUCGCACAUGGGUGGUGCGUGGGAACGCAUGAUCGGAGUCGCAAGGAGGAUUUUGGAUUCAAUGCUGAUGCGUACUCACUCCUCAAGUUUGACCCAUGAAGUCCUGUGCACUUUUAUGGCAGAGGCGACAGCCAUUAUCAACUCUAGACCGCUUGUUUCUAUUUCAUCUGAUCCAGAUGCUCCUCAGAUACUCACACCGGCAAUGCUCCUUACUAACAAACAAAGUAUUCUACCUCCAUCUGGGAAGUUCACCGACAAAGACUUGUUCAAGCAGCAGUGGCGCCAGGUACAAAGGUUGGCUGAUCAAUUCUGGAGUCGCUGGAAGCGCGAAUACCUGCACACUCUGCAAGUUCGACACAAAUGGCAGGAAUCGAGACCUAACAUUGAAGAUGGGGACGUCGUUAUGUUGAAGGACAGUAAAACGUGUCGUAACGACUGGCCCAUGGCCCUUGUGACUAAGACCUUUCCUGGACGUGAUGGAAGAGUUCGCAAGGUCGAGAUCAGAGUUGUUAAAGAUGGAUCCAUGAAGAAGUUCUUUAGACCAGUUACAGAGAUUAUUCUGCUUCUGAAAAGGCAGGACUGAAACAUUUAACUGUAGGUUGUUUUAGUUCAAUGUGUGGCAUCUUGUCAGAUACCAGGCGGGGAGUGUUCUGCCCCGAAACUUGUCUGUUUGACUGUAUUAUAUCGGUUUAUAUUGCGUUUGACAGAUAGACUUUUAUUUUGAAGGCGAUGUCUAGCAGGAAGUCGGCCGUCGGCCAUUUUUGUCGUAAUCACAACAAGCCGUGUGCAGCUAGUGCUAGUUAAGUGUUCAUCCAUGGUCAUCCUUGUUUCUGUUUGUGCCUUCGACAUCAUCGUCUGAUGUCUGGGCUCUCCCUUAGAGAUAGGGUGAGAAGCUCGGUCAUCUGGGAGAGACUCGGAGUAGAGUCGCUACUCCUCCACGUUGAGAAGAGCCAGAUGAGGUGGCUUGGGCAUCUCAUCAGGAUGCCUCCUGGACGCCUCCCUGGGGAGGUGUUCGGGGCAUGUCCCACCGGUAGGAGACCCCGGGGACGAUCCAGGACGCGCUGGAGAGACUAUGUCUCUCAGAUGGCCUGGGAACGCCUUGGGAUCCCCCAGGAUGAGCUGGAUGAAGUGCCUGGGGAGAGGGAAGUCUGGGAGUCCCUCCCAAAGCUGAUGCCCCCGCGACCCGACCCCGGAUAAGCGGAAGAAGAUGGAUGGAUGGAUGGAUACUGUCCACUGUUGUGCCAUUUGUCCGAUCGCGGUUUGCUUCAUGUGUGCGCCGUUUGAUUGACAGCUCCGGCGCGCUCCUUUAAGUUUGCUCUCGCAUCGUACGAGUAGCCGUUACGCAGCGGCACGGCGACAAACGGUUGUCAGCAAAUGUAUUUUGUUGUCUCGAUCGAUGACUUAUGUUUGGUGUGUUGCCGAAAGUAUUUCAUUUAUGGUUAUUUUUUAUUAACUUUUUUGCCAAUUUUCUGUGUUCUGACCAACACCCGGGGGCGAAAAGAGCAUAACCAUUCGAGCCAAUCCCCUAUACCAGGGGUCAGCAACCCGCGGCUCCAGAGCCGCAUGCGGCUCUUUAGCAUAUUUUUAAAUAUGUUUUUUAGAUGGUAAUCAUGAGACAAACAUUCGUAUGCUGUAGAAAAUGUAUGUAGUUGUAAAUACACUGCUCAAAAAAUUUAAAGGAACAGUCUUUUAUCAGGUUAUGGCAUGAAUUCAAUUAGACUUUUCUGAUAAGGUUUUGGCCAGGUACGUGGCAGAGGGGGUUGUUAAUCAGUUUCAGCUGCAUUGGUGUUGAUGGAAUUAACAACAGGUGCACUAGAGGGGCAACAACGAGAUGGUCCCCAAAACAGGACUGAUUUUGCAGGUGGAGGCCAUUUCAAGUUCCUCCCUCUUGAUCUUUUUUAACUGGUUUUCCACAAGUGUUGGCUUUAACUAGAGUCAUUAUCACGACUGGGAGCAUGAGGCGAUUUCUUAACCCUCCUGAAGUUGUGCAGACUGUCCAACUCCUCCAGGAUGGCACAGCCAUGCGUGCUGUUGCAAGAAGAUUUGAUCGCUCCCAGUACAAUCUCCAGAGCAUGGAGGAGAUUCCAGGAGACAGGCAGUUACUCUAAGAGAGCUGGACAGGGCCGUAGACGAUCCUCAUUCCAUCAGCAGGACCGGUAUCUGCUGCUUUGUGCUAGGAAGAACAGGUUGAGCACUGCCCGAGCCCUACAGAAUGACCUCGAGCAGGCUACUGGUGUGAAUGUCUCUGCCCAAACAGUCAGAAACAGACUUCACGAGGGUGGCCUCAGGGCACGACGUCCUGUAGUGUUUCCUGUGCUCAUUGCUCAGCACCAUGGAGCUCGAUUGGCAUUUGCUAUAGAACACCGGAAUUGGCAAGUCCGCCACUGGCGCCCUGUGCUUUUCACAGAUGAGAGCAGGUUUACCCUGAGCACCUGUGAUAGACGUGAAAGGGUCUGGGGAAGCCAAGGAGAGCGCUAUGCUGCCUGCAACAUCAUUUAGCAUGACCGGUUUGGUGGUGGGUCAGUGAUGGUCUGGGGAAGCAUUUCCAUGGAGGGACGAACAGAUCUCUACAGGCUAGAGAACGACAGUCUAACUGCCAUUAGGUAUCAGGAUGAAAUCCUUGCACCCAUGGUCAGACCCUACGUCGGUGCAGUAGGUCCUGGGUUCCUCCUGAUCCACAACAAUGCCCGGCCUGUUGUGGCAAGAGUAUGCAGACAGUAUCUGAAGGAUUAAGGAAUUGACACAAUUGAAUGGCCCUCAUGAUCACCUGAUCUAAACCCGAUAGAACACCUCUGGGACAUAAUGUUUCCGUCCAUCAUACGCCGCCAGGUUGCUCCUCAGACUUUACAGGAGCUCACUGAUGCCCUUAGACAGAUCUGGGAGGACAUCUCACAAAACACCAUCCGUCGUCUCAUUAGGAGCAUGCCGCGACGUUGUCAAGCAUGCAUACAAGCUCGUGGGGGCCACACAAGAUAUUGAAAAUAAUUUUGAGUUGCAGAAAUUGAAUUUAGGCAAAAAGGACGAGCCUGCUGUAUCAUUUUUUCACUUUGAUUUUGGGGUGUCUACUAUACUGAGCCCUCUGUAGGCUGAAAAUCUUUAUUUCCUUCAAAAGAUGUGGCAUCCUUUUGUUCCUGAGACAUUAAACUGUCCAUAUCAGUAUAGAUAUCCCCCAAAACAAUUUGCCAUUGAAACCUGAUGACCCCUCCGUGAGUCAUCACCUUAUCAUGGUGGAAGGGUUUGCACGUCCCAAUGAUCCUAGGAGGCAUGUUGUCUGGGGCUUCAUGCCCCUGGUAGGGUCACCCAUGGCAAACGGGUCCUAGGUGAGCGGCCAGACAAAGCACGGCUCACAUUAGCCCCUUAUGAUGAAAAAAAUAAUUGGAUCUCAUUUUCCCUCAGCCGGACGCGGGUCACCGGGGCCCCCCUCUGGAGCCAGGCCUGGAGGCGGGGCUCGAAGGCGAGUGUCUGGUGGCCGGGCCUUCGCCCAUGGGGCCCGGCCGGGCACAGCCCGAAAAGGAAACAUGGGUCCCCCUUCCCAUGGGCUCACCACCUGUGGGAGGGGCCAAAGGGGUCGGGUGCAGUGUAAGCUGGGCGGCGGCCAAAGGCAGGGACCUUGGCGGUCUGAUCCCCGGCUGCAGAAGCUGGCUCUUGGGACAUGGAAUGUCACCUCUCUGGCUGGAAAGGAGCCCGAGCUGGUGUG
RNA transcript from Syngnathus typhle (broad-nosed pipefish), 9308 nucleotides. RefSeq lists it as uncharacterized. NCBI's taxonomy places the organism in Eukaryota, Metazoa, Chordata, Actinopteri, Syngnathiformes, Syngnathidae. The record is from RefSeq and is a predicted model, not a curated record. The transcript has 3 exons.